Molecule: ribosomal RNA, 301 nt
Filed under: uncultured bacterium
Lineage: Bacteria
Description: partial 16S ribosomal RNA
Rfam family: Bacterial small subunit ribosomal RNA
Source: RNAcentral
CAACAGCCACGGGAAUACGAAGGGGGCUAGCGUUGCUCGGAAUCACUGGGCGUAAAGGGUGCGUAGGCGGGUCUUUAAGUCAGGGGUGAAAUCCUGGAGCUCAACUCCAGAACUGCCUUUGAUACUGAAGAUCUUGAGUUCGGGAGAGGUGAGUGGAACUGCGAGUGUAAAGGUGAAAUUCGUAGAUAUUCGGAGGAACACCAGUGGCGAAGGCGGCUCACUGGCUCGAUACUGACGCUGAGGUGCGAAAGCGUGGGGAGCAAACAGGAUUAGAUACCCCAGUAGUCCCUGUCUCUUAUAC